UUUAUGGAGAGUUUGAUCCUGGCUCAGGAUGAACGCUGGCGGCGUGCCUAAUACAUGCAAGUCGAGCGAACGGACGAGAAGCUUGCUUCUCUGAUGUUAGCGGCGGACGGGUGAGUAACACGUGGAUAACCUACCUAUAAGACUGGGAUAACUUCGGGAAACCGGAGCUAAUACCGGAUAAUAUUUUGAACCGCAUGGUUCAAAAGUGAAAGACGGUCUUGCUGUCACUUAUAGAUGGAUCCGCGCUGCAUUAGCUAGUUGGUAAGGUAACGGCUUACCAAGGCAACGAUGCAUAGCCGACCUGAGAGGGUGAUCGGCCACACUGGAACUGAGACACGGUCCAGACUCCUACGGGAGGCAGCAGUAGGGAAUCUUCCGCAAUGGGCGAAAGCCUGACGGAGCAACGCCGCGUGAGUGAUGAAGGUCUUCGGAUCGUAAAACUCUGUUAUUAGGGAAGAACAUAUGUGUAAGUAACUGUGCACAUCUUGACGGUACCUAAUCAGAAAGCCACGGCUAACUACGUGCCAGCAGCCGCGGUAAUACGUAGGUGGCAAGCGUUAUCCGGAAUUAUUGGGCGUAAAGCGCGCGUAGGCGGUUUUUUAAGUCUGAUGUGAAAGCCCACGGCUCAACCGUGGAGGGUCAUUGGAAACUGGAAAACUUGAGUGCAGAAGAGGAAAGUGGAAUUCCAUGUGUAGCGGUGAAAUGCGCAGAGAUAUGGAGGAACACCAGUGGCGAAGGCGACUUUCUGGUCUGUAACUGACGCUGAUGUGCGAAAGCGUGGGGAUCAAACAGGAUUAGAUACCCUGGUAGUCCACGCCGUAAACGAUGAGUGCUAAGUGUUAGGGGGUUUCCGCCCCUUAGUGCUGCAGCUAACGCAUUAAGCACUCCGCCUGGGGAGUACGACCGCAAGGUUGAAACUCAAAGGAAUUGACGGGGACCCGCACAAGCGGUGGAGCAUGUGGUUUAAUUCGAAGCAACGCGAAGAACCUUACCAAAUCUUGACAUCCUUUGACAACUCUAGAGAUAGAGCCUUCCCCUUCGGGGGACAAAGUGACAGGUGGUGCAUGGUUGUCGUCAGCUCGUGUCGUGAGAUGUUGGGUUAAGUCCCGCAACGAGCGCAACCCUUAAGCUUAGUUGCCAU
Molecule: ribosomal RNA, 1141 nt
Filed under: Staphylococcus aureus
Lineage: Bacteria; Bacillati; Bacillota; Bacilli; Caryophanales; Staphylococcaceae
Description: bacterial SSU rRNA
Rfam family: Bacterial small subunit ribosomal RNA
Source: RNAcentral